CCUACGGGGGGCAGCAGUGGGGAAUAUUGCGCAAUGGGCGAAAGCCUGACGCAGCGACGCCGCGUGAGGGAUGAAGGUCUUCGGAUCGUAAACCUCUGUCAGCAGGGAAGAACGGUCACUGUGCUAAUCAGCAGUGAAUUGACGGUACCUGCAAAGGAAGCACCGGCUAACUCCGUGCCAGCAGCCGCGGUAAUACGGAGGGUGCGAGCGUUAAUCGGAAUUACUGGGCGUAAAGCGCUCGUAGGCGGUAUGUCAAGUCAAGGGUGAAAUCCCCGCGCUCAACGUGGGAACUGCCGUUGAAACUGGGGAUCUAGAGUGUGCGAGAGGUAGGCGGAAUGCGUGGUGUAGCGGUGAAAUGCGUAGAUAUCACGAAGAACCCCGAUUGCGAAGGCAGCAUACUGGUGCACAACUGACGCUCAGGCACGAAAGCGUGGGUAGCGAACAGGAUUAGAUACCCGAGUAGUC
This 465-nucleotide ribosomal RNA is filed under the name uncultured bacterium. RNAcentral's name for it is "partial 16S ribosomal RNA". It matches the Rfam family "Bacterial small subunit ribosomal RNA", at positions 338 to 795 of the family's 1533-position model. The record is from RNAcentral.